UACGAAGGGGGCUAGCGUUGCUCGGAAUCACUGGGCGUAAAGGGCGCGUAGGCGGCAUUUUAAGUCGGGGGUGAAAGCCUGUGGCUCAACCACAGAAUGGCCCUUCGAUACUGGGACGCUUGAGUAUGGUAGAGGUUGGUGGAACUGCGAGUGUAGAGGUGAAAUUCGUAGAUAUUCGCAAGAACACCGGUGGCGAAGGCGGCCAACUGGACCAUUACUGACGCUGAGGCGCGAAAGCUAGGGGAGCAAACAGG
Molecule: ribosomal RNA, 254 nt
Filed under: uncultured bacterium
Lineage: Bacteria
Description: partial 16S ribosomal RNA
Rfam family: Bacterial small subunit ribosomal RNA
Source: RNAcentral